Molecule: ribosomal RNA, 258 nt
Filed under: Chloropicon mariensis
Lineage: Eukaryota; Viridiplantae; Chlorophyta; Chloropicophyceae; Chloropicales; Chloropicaceae
Description: partial Bacterial small subunit ribosomal RNA
Rfam family: Bacterial small subunit ribosomal RNA
Source: RNAcentral
CGGGCGUUAUCCGGAUUUAUUGGGUUUAAAGGGAGCGUAGGCCGGAGAUUAAGCGUGUUGUGAAAUGUAGACGCUCAACGUCUGCACUGCAGCGCGAACUGGUUUCCUUGAGUACGCACAAAGUGGGCGGAAUUCGUGGUGUAGCGGUGAAAUGCUUAGAUAUCACGAAGAACUCCGAUUGCGAAGGCAGCUCACUGGAGCGCAACUGACGCUGAAGCUCGAAAGUGCGGGUAUCGAACAGGAUUAGAUACCCUGGUA